AGCGAACGCUGGCGGCAGGCCUAACACAUGCAAGUCGAACGAACCUUUCGGGGUUAGUGGCGGACGGGUGAGUAACACGUGGGAACGUGCCUUUAGGUUCGGAAUAACUCAGGGAAACUUGUGCUAAUACCGAAUGUGCCCUUCGGGGGAAAGAUUAAUCGCCUUUAGAGCGGCCCGCGUCUGAUUAGCUAGUUGGUUGAGGUAAUGGCUCACCAAGGCGACGAUCAGUAGCUGGUCUGAGAGGAUGAUCAGCCACAUUGGGACUGAGACACGACCCAAACUCCUACGGGAAGCAGCAGUGGGGAAUCUUGCGCAAUGGGCGAAAGCCUGACGCAGCCAUGCCGCGUGAAUGAUGAAGGUCUUAGGAUUGUAAAAUUCUUUCACCGGGGACGAUAAUGACGGUACCCGGAGAAGAAGCCCCGGCUAACUUCGUG
RNAcentral lists this ribosomal RNA (434 nucleotides) under uncultured bacterium. Its description in RNAcentral is "partial 16S ribosomal RNA". It matches the Rfam family "Bacterial small subunit ribosomal RNA", at positions 29 to 507 of the family's 1533-position model. The record is from RNAcentral.